AGCUCUUCGUGACAGUCGAGUAAAAUGUCUUUCUGCUUAAUUAAACCUGACUAAAACGUCGUUUCUUAUUAUGACUUCUGAUUAAUUCAUGGUUUUUAUUCGAAAAUCUCUUUUAGUUGAGUCGUGAUCUUUGGAGAGGAAGAAAUUUACGCAUGGUGCGCAACAUUUAUCCGAUCCACCGGCCACAUUUACAUUCACAAUAUUUCCACCAUCACAAAAGCCUGAUGUUAAACCCAGCAUGAAUGAGACUCCGUUCAGGAAGUAAGAGGCCUCACCUACUUUCACUCCUGAGAGAGAGCGGCCAUCUUUAAAGUUCUCUGUCAGCACACAGGCAUAGCCUGGCUGCUAAUAUUAGCACUUCCACUCUCCAGAAGCUUUAAGACUGAGAAAAAACAAGUGAAGAACUACUUCAAGAAGUCAUAGCAACGCAAAGCAAGGCUUUCUUAUCUGUAAUGAACAAUGAAGAUUGAGAGGUGACAAGAAGAACAAUUCAUCCGUUGGCUGGAAGGAGCACUGCUUGGGGGCUUGAUGUCGAUGUAAGAUAAGAGACAUGGAGUGAUGCUGAUUCCUGCGUUGAGGUAAAGUAUAGAUUCAGAUCGAAUCAUGUAGGAUUUCGGGCUUUAAAGCUCACAGUUAUUCAUAUAACUAAGAAACACAGACUACACUGAUGCAUACUGAUUCAUUGUUGUUGUUUUUUCCCUUAAAUGAAAAUCCUGUAGCUGUGUUUGAUGUAUCUUUAGCUCAUGUAUUCGCUUUACUUUUUUAUUGUCCUUUUAUUAAGUCUUUAUAAAUAUUUAUAUUGGAAACUCCUCCAAAAUCCAUAAUAUUCAGAGAAGUGUGCAAUUUGUUCCAAAUGCCUGCAGAUUUGUUCACAACACAGUGCCUCUUAUAUUCAGGUGUGGAUCAUGAGCACGGCACUCACACGAAGUCUUUACAUAUGGGGAGAUUAAAAGAAUCUGUCCUUGUGAUUUCACCAAUUCGACUAGUGUUCUGCAAAGAAAAUGCACCAAAACACAAAAUCGAGCAUUUUUAGAUCCACAAUCACAAAAAACUUCAGUGUAUAAACACAAUGUCAUGUCUGUGAUUAUCUGUUCAAUAAAAUCACUAAACUGUAAA
Molecule: long non-coding RNA, 1116 nt
Organism: Tachysurus fulvidraco (yellow catfish)
Lineage: Eukaryota; Metazoa; Chordata; Actinopteri; Siluriformes; Bagridae
Exons: 5
Source: RefSeq, a predicted model, not a curated record